AUGUCGUCGCCGAUGAAGCCUGGAGUCGUCGGUAGCAUCGCCAGCCGGUGGCGCGAGCUCCAUGGCGCUCGGUCGUGGGCCGGGCUCCUAGAUCCGCUGGAUGCCGACCUCCGGGAAUUCCUCAUCUCCUACGGCGAGCUUGCAUCGGCCAGCUACGACGGGUUCAACAACGAGGAGCGCUCGCCGCACCGCGGGGCCUGCGUGUACAGCCGCGCCGACGUUCUGGCCGCCUCCACCGUGUCCCACCCUGAGUACUACAGCGUCACAAAGUUCCUCUAUGCGGCCUCUGGGCGUCCGGACGCCACCGGGCCGCUCGAGUCCAACUGGAUGGGUUUCGUAGCCGUGGCGACGGACGAGGGAGUGGCGGCCAUGGGGAGACGCGACAUCGCCGUGGCAUGGCGCGGCUCCGUGCUGCAGUCAGAGACGGCGAACGAUGGAGACAUCUUGCAGGUGUCCGCGGCGCCGGUGCUGGGUUCCUACGCAGCCACCAACGCGGGCGCAAUGGUGCACCGUGGAUUUCUGUCCGUGUACACGUCCAGUGACAGAGACUCCAUGUACAACAAGGCCAGCGCUAGAGAUCAGGUCCUCGAGGAGGUGCGGAGGCUAAUGGAGUUGCACAAGGACGAGGUCACUAGCAUAACAGUCACCGGCCAUAGCCUCGGUGCUUCGCUCGCCAUCCUCAACACCGUCGACAUGGUCGCCAACAGCAUCAAUGUCCCCCUAGACUCCUCCAAACAGCUGCCACGUCCUGUGACCGCGAUCAUGUUCGCGAGCCCACAGGUGGGGAACAACAAAUUCAAGUCCGCAUUUGCCUCGUUCCGCGACCUACACGCAAUCCAUGUGAAGAACGCCCCGGACAUCAUCCCAACACUCCCAGGGCCGCUAUUAGGGUAUGUGGAUGUUGCGACGGCGACCGUGCCUAUCAACACUAACCGAUCCCCCUACCUGUACCCAAAUAACAGGGAUACCUAUCACAACCUUGAGUGCUACCUGCACGGCGUCGCCGGGGAUAAGGGCGAUGGCAUGGACUUCAAGCUGGUGGUGGACCGUGAUGUGGCGCUGGUCAACAAGAAAGUCAAUGUUCUAAAAGACCAAUACCCGGUGCCGGCAAACUGGUAUGUGGCAAAGAACAAGUGGAUGGUCAAGGGCACUGAUGGCCACUGGAAGCUUGAUGACUUCAAGGAAGUCUAA
Molecule: ribosomal RNA, 1191 nt
Filed under: Triticum aestivum (bread wheat)
Lineage: Eukaryota; Viridiplantae; Streptophyta; Magnoliopsida; Poales; Poaceae
Description: partial small subunit ribosomal RNA
Source: RNAcentral